This is a long non-coding RNA of Acyrthosiphon pisum (pea aphid), 474 nucleotides long. RefSeq lists it as uncharacterized. Lineage: Eukaryota; Metazoa; Arthropoda; Insecta; Hemiptera; Aphididae. The transcript is spliced from 3 exons. The record is from RefSeq and is a predicted model, not a curated record.
AUAUAAACACAACAUUUUUAAAUGAAAAGUAUCAGUUCAACCAACGAUUAUAUCUAGACAUAGAUAAACAUUUGUCACGCUAACCGACUCAACGACAAUUGCUGCAAGGUGGCUCAGAAAACAAACUUCAAACUAUAUUUGGAACAUAUUAUUUAUAAUCAAGUUGACGUUUUAGAGUAAACAAAUUAAUUGUUUACACACAUUUUGAUCAUGGAUGAUGAAAGUAAAAUAGUAAUAUAGUGUUAUGGCUGUUAUUAACAAUAUCUGGACACAUGGACAUAAUCAUUGAAUUGUAUAUUCGUAAAUGUCCAUAGAAAAUACCUUCUGAAAAUAAUGAUUUACUAUGAAAUACAAUGGGUUUAGUGUACAGAUGGCACCAGUUCCAGUGGCCUGUGAAAAGGCCCCAUGUUACGAUUGUUUACUCGAUCGUUUCAUGUGUCGCUAAAAUAGCUCGUUAACAUUCUUAGUAAAUCU